Molecule: ribosomal RNA, 512 nt
Filed under: uncultured bacterium
Lineage: Bacteria
Description: bacterial SSU rRNA
Rfam family: Bacterial small subunit ribosomal RNA
Source: RNAcentral
GAUCCUGGCUUAGGAUGAACGCUAGCGACAGGCUUAACACAUGCAAGUCGAGGGGCAGCGCGGAGGUAGCAAUACCUUGGCGGCGACCGGCGCACUGGUGAGUAACACGUAUGCGACCUGCCCCGGACAGGGGGAUAAACCCGGGAAACUGGGCCUAAUACCCCCAUAUGCCUUUUGGAUGCAUGUCCAUGAGGUGAAAGAUCCGUCGGUCCGGGAUGGGCAUGCGGCGCAUUAGCUAGUUGGCGGGGCAACGGCCCACCAAGGCGACGAUGCGUAGGGGUUCUGAGAGGAAGGUCCCCCCACACUGGUACUGAGACACGGACCAGACUCCUACGGGAGGCAGCAGUGAGGAAUAUUGGUCAAUGGGCGAUAGCCUGAACCAGCCAAGUCGCGUGCGGGAUGAAGGCCCUCCGGGUCGUAAACCGCUUUAGCCGGGGAGUAACGUGUGGGACGUGUCCCGCAGUGAGAGUACCCGGAGAAUAAGCAUCGGCUAACUCCGUGCCAGCAGCGGC